AUUCUGCCCAUGCGGGGAAGGAUGAGAAGCUUCGACCAAGGUUCGACUCGAGCGCCAGCGAGAGAGCGUUGCCGCAGGCAACGAUCCGAAGGGCGAAGCGCGCAGCGCUGAGUAAUCCUUCCCCCACCACCA
RNAcentral lists this small RNA (132 nucleotides) under Escherichia coli. Its description in RNAcentral is "RtT sRNA". It matches the Rfam family "RtT RNA". From Rfam's summary of the family: This family represents a bacterial cis-regulatory element known as RtT RNA. The exact function of RtT is unknown although it is thought that it may be involved in changing the cellular response in relation to amino acid starvation. The record is from RNAcentral. Lineage: Bacteria; Pseudomonadati; Pseudomonadota; Gammaproteobacteria; Enterobacterales; Enterobacteriaceae.